CCUACGGGCGGCAGCAGUGGGGAAUAUUGGGCAAUGGGCGCAAGCCUGACCCAGCACCGCCGCGUGAAGGAAGAAGGCUUUCGGGUUGUAAACUUCUUUUGUCAGGGACGAAGCAAGUGACGGUACCUGACGAAUAAGCCACGGCUAACUACGUGCCAGCAGCCGCGGUAAUACGUAGGUGGCAAGCGUUAGCCGGAUUUAUUGGGUGUAAAGGGCGUGUAGGCGGGAAUGCAAGUCAGAAGUGAAAACUAUGGGCUCAACCCAUAGCCUGCAUUUGAAACUGUAUUUCUUGAGUGCUGGAGGGGCGAGCGGAAUUCCGUGUGUAGCGGUGAAAUGCGUAGAUAUACGGAGGAACACCAGUGGCGAAGGCGGAUUUCUGGACAGUAACUGACGCUGAGGCGCGAAAGCGUGGGGAGCAAACAGGAUUAGAUACCCUAGUAGUC
This 443-nucleotide ribosomal RNA is filed under the name uncultured bacterium. RNAcentral's name for it is "partial 16S ribosomal RNA". It matches the Rfam family "Bacterial small subunit ribosomal RNA", at positions 338 to 795 of the family's 1533-position model. The record is from RNAcentral.